UGUGGCUAUAUCUUUUCCCUGCCUUUGCUUAGCAAGGAGCUCCCGUGCGACCACCUGGGUCAUGAUGCCGGGCUCAGCCGCCAUCCCCGAGGAGAUCAGUAACUUCCUUGCAGAUGUUGACACAUUUAUAUCAGAUAUCCUAAAAGGUGAAAAUUUAUCCAAAAGAGCAAAGGAAAAGAGGGAUGCGCUGGUUAAGAAGAUAAAAGACAUCAGGUCCAACUACCCACAAGAAUUUCCUGAAAGAGGACAUCCUGAAGAUGG
This is a non-coding RNA of Python bivittatus (Burmese python), 261 nucleotides long. The record is from RefSeq and is a predicted model, not a curated record. NCBI's taxonomy places the organism in Eukaryota, Metazoa, Chordata, Lepidosauria, Squamata, Pythonidae.